Long non-coding RNA from Bubalus bubalis (water buffalo), 737 nucleotides. RefSeq lists it as uncharacterized. The record is from RefSeq and is a predicted model, not a curated record. Lineage: Eukaryota; Metazoa; Chordata; Mammalia; Artiodactyla; Bovidae. The transcript is spliced from 2 exons.
UCUUGAGAGUACCAUGGAUAGCAGAGAUCCAGCCCGUAAAUCUUAAAGGAAACCAACCCUGGAUACUCAUUGGAAGGACGGAUGCAGUAGCUGAAACGCCAAUAUUUUGGUCACCUGAUGCAAACAGAAAACUCACUGGAAAAGAUCUUGAUGCUGGGAAAGAGUGAAGGCAGAAGGAGAAGAGGUAAUCAGAGGAUGAGAUGGUUGGAUGGCAUCACCAACGCAGUGGACGUGAACUUCGGCAAACUCUGAGAGAAGCGGUUCAGUUGCUAAGACCCUGCGCUCCUAGUGCAGGGAGCCUGGAUUCAAUCCCUGGUUGGGGAACUAGAUCCCAUGUGCAGCAAGUAAAAGACCCUGCAUGCUGCAAGGAAGAUGGAAGAGCUUGUGUGUUGCAACUAAGACCAGGCACAGCCAAAUAAGUUAACUAAUUAAAAAAUAUGGCCAAAUGAAUGUACAUAUUUCCCAUUUUAUCCUAAUAUGCCUCUCUUCAUUAUAUUAUUACAUCAUAUAAACUGUAAAAAUUUAGAUCCUCAAUACUUUUAAUCUUAGAGAAAUAAUUUUAGGACAUAAGUAUUUCUAAAUUUUAAAUUAAUAGUAUAGUGAUAUGUUUCUCCACUUUGUGUUAUUUUUUAGUUGAGGUGUAUGUCUCAGUGGUCAGUGAGUAAAUGAUUUGUGAAUAUAUGAGUCUUUGAACCAUGUUCAUUGUGUUUACCAUUUUGUAUGAAAAUGACAAACAC